CUUCACGAGAUGCGUCGGCAAGCUCCGACUAAGACGCACACCAACCCGCAGUUCAUGGGUGGUUCGGAUGAAGAAGCGGCCGUGGCCACGAGGCGCCGGCAAGAGCUAGCG
RNAcentral lists this non-coding RNA (111 nucleotides) under Paeniglutamicibacter gangotriensis. RNAcentral's name for it is "Arthrobacter gangotriensis SAM-IV sequence". It matches the Rfam family "SAM (S-adenosyl methionine) riboswitch aptamer". Rfam says of the family: SAM-IV is a mRNA element that regulates gene expression via direct sensing of S-adenosylmethionine (SAM or AdoMet). SAM-IV riboswitches share conserved nucleotide positions with the previously described SAM-I riboswitches sequence analysis and molecular recognition experiments suggest that SAM-I and SAM-IV riboswitches share similar ligand binding sites, but have different scaffolds. RNAcentral also lists the same sequence under 1 other name. Lineage: Bacteria; Bacillati; Actinomycetota; Actinomycetes; Micrococcales; Micrococcaceae. The record is from RNAcentral.